UUAUAUUUCUCCUAAAUUACAGUAAUCCUUUGAGAUGGAAAUUGCUGCAGUGUUGCUAGCUCCAGCACUUUUAUCCAGAGCAUUGUGUUGUUCACAUUUUCCCAGAGAGCUCAGCUCUGGGAAACACAGGAUUACAGGAGAAUCUCUAAUUUAAUUUUUUAUAGAUUAGUUUCUUAUGUACUGAGUUGUGAAGCAAAGCUGAACAAGGGACCCCUGAAGACUCAAAACCAGAAGGCAGAUUAAAACAGUUUCAAAUGUAUUACAAUUUAAAACCUCAUUAUUUUAACUUCACCUCAUUCAUUUUUAAUACAUGGAGAUGGGAAUUGCCAAAACUGGGUUAGAUUUCCAAAGGAAUCAUAGGCAUGGCUCUGCUGAGACACCUUGGGUUCUACUGGCAUGCACAGUCACAGGCUGCAGCCACGGGGACCCCUUUGCCAUAUUUGGGAGACACGAAGGUCUACAUCUGGACAGAGGAAACCCUGAACAGCCCAUUGAACACGUGGCUGGGAUGAGGUGCUGCUAAAGCCCUCAGGAAAUCUGGGAUCUGUAGCUGUCCCCAGAAGACUCCUGACUGGGGUUAAGUACCAAGGUCUGGUCUCUCAAAAGAACAAAGCAAAAACUGGAGCUGAAGUGGAGACAACUUUUCUUUACAUGGUCAAAAGGGGUUUGAGUAGCAUCUGCCCUGCAGGUUUGUUAGUAUUUUAAUUAAGGUGGGUUAUGAGUUUCCAAAUGAGGGCAAGUCAGCAGUGCUGCAGAGACAGACCAUCAGUGGGACGUCAGGACAUCAUCUGUCACCAGCCCAUGUUGGUAUAGUGAGUUUGUUCUGUGUUUUCUUCUGUCAACUGUCCUCCCUUACAGUCACUUUAUGGAUGCUAAUUAUUUAUAUCCAGACCUCCUAUUUUUGCUCUUUAGUUUAUAGCUAACUAUAUCUUAAAGAAAAACAAGGCACAGACUUCCAUCAUUUAUUUCACAAAUAAAGACCUCUUAAGUAAUGUACAUAGUUAUACUAUAUACAUUUUUAUAUCAUUUGUUUUAAAGAGAACUGUGACAAAAGAAAGAAGCAACAGAUUUGUCCCUGAGACUUAUUUUUAUCAUUAAGAAUUACAAAUGCACAAAAGUCACUGUGUAUUGUGUGCAAUCCCUCUUAGUAGUCUGGCACCAAACUGCUGAUGUGAACUAGAGAGAUCACUGGCAAGGAAAUCGAGUCUCUUUUAAAGUAUAAUUAAAAUUAAAGGUCUGUUAUAUUUCUUCACUCCAGUUUUAAUAAUAUAAUCCUUCAUGCCCAAUCCCAGCUGGCCAAAUCCUAAUUACAACAUCCCACAAUAUCCAUCAUAAAAAAAGCAUCUGCCUUUAUGUAAGAGUGCUUUGCCACACUUCUGUCUGCUGAUGUCUUUCUCAUCUGUACCUUCUUUACACCUCUCUGUGUUUAAAUAUCUGUCCUUUAUAAGACCUGGCUUUGCUGAUCCCAAGGGUUACAUUCAGCUCUGUGAAAGUGCUGGACACUGUGGCACAAAUCAAAAAAAAAAAAUGGGAAAAGUGUUUUGCCAUCUUUUGUCCACUUUGCAGCCUGCUGCAAAAGGAACUGCCCUCUGCACAGUCAGCUGUGUGCAUGGAUGUUUUAACUGACUAUUUUAACCUUGUUUUCUAUAUUUAGUUUGGGAUCUCUCAAUGGGAAGGCACUACUGGCCUUAUUUAAGGCAGAGCCACAGCAUCCAGCAGCUGAGAAGAGCGUAAUCCCUAGAAAUCCUUCAACAAAGCAAAUGGAAAAGCUCCUGUGUUUGAAAACAUCCUUGAGAAGAGCUGCAUUUUUGUCUUGGAGAGGCUGUUAUUUACAUGGAAAAAUAUUGUAUGUAUUGUGCAUGUUUCUAGUCUUCUUCCCACAGAAUCAUCCAAGGAAGUUCUUGCUCAACAACAUCUGUUCAAAUCACCACUUAACUGCACGAGUGUUCAUUUUGCAAACUUUUUGGCUACUUUGCUGUUUUGAUCCCAAAAAAGUCAAAUGGCACUGGCACAUCUUCUGGCCUGUAUUAGAGAGUGUCCACUGCAGACCUGCCCAAGUGGGAUCACGUGCAGCUCCAAGGGGUGGAGAGUCUGCAUCUUGGACUUGCUCGUCCUCGUGCCUGAUGGUUGAAACUGCUGGAGAGCUGCUGCCUGUGGCACAGCACUGACAGCAGGAUGUUGAUCCACAGCUGUUCCCAGCUCAGCGCUGCCUGGCGCCGUCGGAGUGUCAAUAUUUUGCUUACCAGAUAAAUGCAAACCUCGGGAAAGCUGUGUCAGCUGUCACACCCAGAUGUGGUGGUGCAGCAACGUCAGAGCGUCACAACGGCUCCUAAAGUUCCGAUUUGGUCUCUCCUGGAGAAAAUUGGUAUUUCAUGGAUCUCGAGGCCCUCACUGACUGUUUGCCUCAGAAUCCAGUUUGAAAUUGUACUCCUUGUUUUUCAAACCACACCCUCGCUCCUUGGACUUCUUUCCAGCUUGUCUCCUGGAGACGUGGAGCCCUCCCCUUUCCUCCCCUCUGUCUCUUCUCUCCUUCCAACAGGCUCCUCACUGCUGAGUCAAGAACUGUCUCCUCUCACCGUCUCCCAUCCAGAGCUGACUCCUUGUGCAUGUCCUGCAGUCAUUCUCCAUUUUAGUGCAAAGUUCCAUUCAAAUAGUGCUCUUUUCUCCUGGAAUUCAAUUCUUCUUUUCCAUCUGUUCUUACUGAAUGCAUAACUCUGGGUCACACUGAGGCUCUGGAUGAGUUUCUUCUGUGGUUUGUGUAAGUCAUUGUGCAAGCUCCUGAGCCCCAGCUGGUAAAAAUGGUAAUGUUUUUUAAGAAAUUAUUUGAAAUGUAAAGAUUCUGUUGCAGAGUUGUUUAAUAUGUAAUUGUUUAAUGUUUAAAUUCCCUCUAGUUCAUUCUUUGAAAGAAGAAUGGCAUUGUACAUGCUUAGAAUUUAAAGGCAAUCCCCUGUUAUGGUGGAUUUAACUCCUGACAUGUUCUUGAUAAAGGUCACUUUAUGAAUUUAGUUCAGUAUGUGAAGCCCCACCCUGUAGUCCCUGGACAUGAAAGCUCUGCUGGAGAUUAUAAUCCCCAUCAUCUCCAUCAGCAGAUUCUGAUGGCAUUUAAUGUCAAAAUGAACAGAAGUGUCUAGAGGCAGUAGCAGUGCAGGCUGGAGGUCUUGAGGUUCCCCACAGAGAAUGCCAUGGUGAGACACAAUUUACUUGUAGCUUGCAAACAAUGCCUGUCUUGCCUCCCAGAAGCAUUUCCAUUGGAAGGAGCCAUUUCUGUCCACGAGCAGCACACGGACAUCGAUGCUCUCUGUGUGUUCCUAGAGCCCUUUGCUCCUUCCCUGGACACUGGUGUUCUCCAGGCUUUGCAGCACAGGUGCUGAAUCCCUUACAGGGCAGUUUCUCAGCUGAAAUUGCAGCUCCUCCAACCAGCCUUGUAAAAACAGAGAUCUACUGGUGAGUGACGCAAAGCCGGAUAGAGGGCACGGGAGUCAACGUGUGCCUUCAGAAUCCUGGCAGAUGGAUCAGGGCUGUGUGCUACAACAACCUUUGGAGGAGCUGAAUUCCUCCUGGGUGUUUCCUCUGGCAGCUCAUUCAUCAAGCGGGUAGAGGGUGAAUGUGUUCUUUGAAAACAUAACCAGUGGCAAGGGAUGAGGGAGCUGAUAUAAAUCCAGGGUGCAUCUCUCACUGAUUUCACCAGGUCUGGAAUGACAAAAACCAAGCUACGCUUCUAAACAGACCAAGUAAAAUCUUAGCCUAGAUGGUGCAAGUGGUUGAACACCACUCUAGAGCAUAACUAGUCAGUGUGCACAAAUAGGGCACGAGAAAGGGCUGGGAAGGACCUGGAGGGGUCUGCUGGUUGUCACCUCUGUCCUACAGCAAGGCUGAAUGAGCCAAUUGCAGAUUAACAGGGUGAUUUGGGAAAUGCUGAAUAUAUUGACUGUUAGGGCCUUUUAGCUAUUUCCUUUGAAAUAGACCCUUGACAGGGAAAACCUCAGUGUUCAUUUUCUUAACAUUAUUACAUUAUCCAGGAAAGAGAAUGAAGCCAAGAAAAGCAGAAACCCUGUUACAUUUUCGAGUAUAGUGGUAAACUAUGCAGAUUGUAAACAGACUUUAUUUUCUAUAGGGCAUUUAAAAUAUAUUUCCCCUUCUCUUAAUCCUGGCAAGAAGCACUCUCUAAACUCAUAAGCUAUGAAUUCCCCCAUCUCCAGAAGGAAACAACUCUUUAUGACUGUUCUUGUUUGCCUGCUUCCUUUUCCCCACCACAGUAAGUUUUGAGACCAGUGGCCAAAUUCAGCCAUGUGUGAUGGAGAGGAAUAAGCUCAAAGAAACUGGAUUCCAGCAACUUUCAUGAAAAUAGGCAGCCAGAGAGUGGAGAGACUUUUAUUUAGAAGGAAUGGCUGAAGUGGGAGUUCAGCCCUUACUGGAAAAUCUAUGAAGUCAGUGCAAACUGUGGGGGGAAAAAAAGUCUUUGACCAAGGUCUGCACCUUCUUGAAUUAGUUUUAUUGUUCAUGAAAUAUUUUUGUUCCAUUCCUUUAUUCCCAAAUUCCUGCUUUUGUAUGAAUCUGUACCUUUGUCUGCAUUAACUUUAAAGAUAGGUUCAGAAAUGCUGUCCUGAAAACACCAUUAUUUCCUGAACUGUGUUCUCCCCUUCAAAACCAGGUUUUUGUUAGACCAUGUAAUGCUGUUCUAUGUAACACAAAGGCCCUGUUUUUUUAUUAUCAGCUUGUAGGAUUUCAGGAAGCUGAAGAUAAAAGUGACCCUAAUUUUUGUAUUCACUCUUGGCUUUCUCUGUCUUGAACUGUUUGUGGAACAGGUUUAAUGGACGUUCUCUGCAUUUCUUGGUUCUUAAUGACAUACACAACCUGAAUGUAACAGACUGGCUUUUCUUGAACUUCAGUCUUAACUAGAAUUUUCAAGACACAAACACAACACAAAGAUGUUUCCCAAAGAGGUUUAACAAUCACACGUUUGCUGCCUUUUAGAUUUUUGACAACACAAGCAAGAUGACUGAGCUGGAAUAAAAUGUAGGCAAGCACAGGCUUACAUGCUCAAAGUCCUCAUAAUGAAGUGACUAAGGUACCUUAAAAAAAAUUCCUACUAAGUGCUGGCAGAAGCAAUCCAUAAACACUUUGCUACCCUGUCACUAGAAUGAAUUUAGAUGACACAAGAUGAAGACAGCCAUGCCCCUUUAUGCCAGAGCUUUCAGUGUAAGUGAUGCUACUUAGGUGAAGGGUGUUGAAUAAAGGGAGAAAACCUCCCGUGCAGAGGCCUUAACAAGCACCAGAGGGAAUUUACAAUCCUAUCUCUUUAGACAGAUCUUCCCCACUUUAAAGAAUAUUUGGUACUUUCUACUUUUCUAAAGGCCUGAGGGGUGCCCUGAAAUGUAAAAAAAUUACACCAAGUUUUUGGCAAACUGUGCUGUUCCAGAUAUGUAGAGUAUCCUUAGCAAACACAAAAAUGGAAGGGGAAGCAUACAAAGUGCUAGUUAAACCAUUUAUUUAGCAUUUUGUCGUCAUGUAGCUUUGAGGAUUUUUGGUUCCCAUCGUGGAAAAAUGUGAUCUAAUAAAGUACUAAUUUAAAAAAGAAUAUAUGGAGGUUAUUAUACAGAAGCUUUUAAUUGUCUCCUUUCUGCACCAAGCCAUACUGCAUCUUAAGGGGUGAGUUCUAGCCCCAGUGUUGGAAUUUUCCCUCUUCCAUCUUAGCUCUCUACAAGUCAUUUGCUCCAACUCAACCAGAGUCUAGUGCUUAAAAUUCUGGAUGGAGGGAGGCCCCAGCUCCAGCACAUCAGAAGUGAGUCAUCUUUGUGUGUUUCUAUCCAUUCAUGAAGACUGAAACAUGUUAAUAAUAAGCAGCUCUUCUUUUGUUUCUUUGGUUAUGCUGGAAGAGGAGAACUAAAGAAUUGAAAGAAACAAGUUUAGUGUUAAGAAAUAAGCACUUUCAUGAGCCCUCCAAAAGAUCCUUAAACAUCCACAUAUUUCUCUUGUAGCCCAGAAUGUGACCGAGACAGCACAUGAUGUGUUGUCUGAUGCAAGAACUAUGUUCGGUUAAUGCAUAUUGCCAAGUUUGUGUCUGCAAACAGGAGCUUGAUUUGCUGUGUCUGGGCUGUGUCUGAUUGUACUCAUUCACAAAGCCAGCAAAAUAGCUGGAAAAGUGGUAGAAUACAGGAAACUGUUGAGCUUUUUGAUCAAUUAUUCCAAAACAAGAAUGAUCAAAUACAGGCCAUAGGAUUAAAACACAGCUGGAAUCCAUCCUCAUUUGUAACAUAAACAUUUUGGAAUGGUCUGUCCCUUCCCAGUCCACCCACUCGUGUCAAAAGAUGAUGCAGUUGGAUUUGCUGGUGAUACCAAGAUCCUGGUAAGCUCCAGGCAUGGUCCCUCUGGAUAGUCAGAUGUGUUCACUGGUGUGUCACCUCCUCAGCUGCUGGGUUACAAAGCAACAAGGUACCAUUUAUUACACUGCUGAUCUCAGAUAGCACUUCCUCUGUCAUCUCCAUUCAUAGUUACAGAUGACAUGCAGAAUUAUUUUCAGCUCUGUUUGGCUCGUGUGCAAUCCAAUUUUGCAGCUCCCCUCUGGAUUCUGUAAAUACAACAGCAGGGAGAAGCCACCUUUUGUCCCCUUGUGCCAGGAGGACCUGCCAGACAUCAACAUGGACCAAACUGCUUUCUAUUUACGUAUUAUCCCUCCCGGCUGUUCACACACAGACUUCCCUUUCCUGGCAAUCUUCCAGUCACUCCGUACUCCAGGCAGAGGUACUAAAACAGCAAAGCAGUUGAUGAGAGCUAAAAUAAAUCUACAUUCUGUUAUACUGUGUGGCCCAGAGAUGACUGAGCAAUUGAACAACAGAGCAGCCGAGACACGUCAGAGGAAUCGGCUUCAUAACCCUGACACUUGAGACACCUGGAAAAGCAGAGACAUUCCCUGGAGAUCUGCUGAGGUCAUUAACACAGCCAGGCUGACUCAUCAAUGCAUCUACAUGUGCCCAAGUGCAAAUAUAUAAGGGAGCUUAAUGGUUUUAAUGUAGUGCUCAACAGAAAUAUGCACUUAUUUCGUAAAUAAGUACCUUCUUGAAUUAAGGCUCCAGCUUCUUGCCUUCUAAUGCACCCAGACCCCACUGCUCAGUCAUUGCCAGUAGGUGCUGGUGUCCAGUGACACCUGGGAAGCAGCAAUGUGCUGCUGUGUCCCACAGAGGAGCUGCUUUGGUUGUGCUCUUUGUCUUACCUCUCCUGGGCACAGGUGAAGCCCUCGGGCUCCUGGCAGGCUGCCAUGGUAAACCCAGCAUGCUGCAUGUUGGCUCGAGUGGGCAGUAAAGGCCUCAAUAUUGCAUCUCAAACACUGAUUAGUAAAGCAGGCAAUUGAAAAAAGUGUUUGUUUAGCUUAUGGAGAUUGUGGAAAAGAAAACAGCUCCAGAAAUUCAAAGCUAGAAAUGCUAGAGCAGGCACAUCAGACUUCUAAGAAUGAGCUUCCACGCCUCCACCCUCAGCUGCAAGGAUGAAGGUCUUUCUUAGACAAGCAGUUGAAAUGCAGUUCAACAAAAAGCCACUCAGAAGGGUCAAGAGCAAGGAUUCAGGCAGUAAAAUAAACACCUGGAGAUGGAAAAAUCCUUCUCCAUAUUUCCUCCCACAUGUUUUGGAAUUAUUGUGCCAGGAAAUUAUUAAAUCACACAAGUUUCAAUAA
This is a long non-coding RNA of Pseudopipra pipra, 7666 nucleotides long. RefSeq lists it as uncharacterized. The record is from RefSeq and is a predicted model, not a curated record. Lineage: Eukaryota; Metazoa; Chordata; Aves; Passeriformes; Pipridae. The transcript has 5 exons.